Molecule: long non-coding RNA, 3635 nt
Organism: Homo sapiens (human)
Lineage: Eukaryota; Metazoa; Chordata; Mammalia; Primates; Hominidae
Source: Ensembl
CUACAGCAUGAGGCCGGGAGAUACAAGGCAGCAUGUUAGAACAAUGAAGCAAAGAGCAACCUCAGAAGGCUGAAGGAUACAGAGAUAUAUGAGCUACACAAGAAAAGGGACUGCCAUCCUAAGGACUUUGAGGAAUCGCCACACUGUCUUCCACAAUGGUUCAACUAAUUUGCACUCCCACCAACAGUAUAGUCAAGGAAACUUUUGAGCUAUCAACAGUUUUAACAGUCUUUAUAUUCCAAAUGGUCAUACAACCAGAGCCUUGGAUGAUGACUUCCUUUUACUGGGGAGCCUUAGAUAAGCCUCUGAGGGAAAUCGGACUGCGGUUUUCCCAAAACAGCACCCCCUGUCAGCAGAAAGCAGUUAAGAUCAGUCUUCAUCCCCAUUCUAAUGGCAGUUAGAUGUACCUCUUCAGAGGGGGGAAAUGAUAGCCAUAGGAGGCAGCCAGAUGCCUAGGAAUAUAGGGGCAGAUCCCUGCUGAAAACCCAUCUUCAAGCCAAAAAAACAACCUGAAGGCUGAGUGAACUGCUGGUCCCGGAUGAAACCCAUGACCAAGAGUGAGAACUUCUGUUCCUGUUUGCCUGUCCUUUCCCAACUGAUUAUAUCUGAAUAAUGCCUUUUAAGCAAUCAAAUUUUGCCUUUUCUAAUACUACCUACAGCCUGCCCUUCCCCUAUUCUGAGCCCAUAAAAGCCCCAAACUCAGCCACAUUGGGGGGACUUUCCCACCUUAGGGUAGGGGACAACCCUCGGGUCUCCUCUCCAUGGAAAGCUGCUUCGUCACUCAAAAGAGUGCCCCACCUUGCUCACUCCUCAAUUGUUAGCAUAUCCUCUUUCAUCUUGGACACUAGAAAAGAACUUGGGAACCAGUAUUCAAGCCAGACUUGGCCCAGGCAGGCCAAGUGGGUGGGCUGUCUCCUGCGGCAGGUAGCAUGGCCAAGCAAGGCCCACGUGGGGCGUUGCCAGCUGGAGGUCCCCAGUUUGCAACAUGACUGAGAGAAAAAUAUUGCGUCAAUAACAGUAAUACAUUAAUAAUAUAAGUAAAAUGCAAAUGUUUAAAAUAUCUUCAAAGUUUAUAGGAGCCAUCAUGUAAUACAAACUGCCAUAAAGCCCUGCUUGAAAUUUUUAAAAUUGUGACUUCAUAAUUAGGCAAAUACUGAUUUUCAGCAAAUUACCUUCCAACACAUUUGUCAUUUGACAAACUGGCUUUCUGAGGAUUGAUAUUUUUCUCCCCUGAGAAGUUGACUUACAAUCAUAUUGUCACUUUCUCCCUCUUUCUCUAAGCUCUAGCCAUAUGAGAGCAUGUCACUUCAGCACAUCAUGCUCCUCUGCAUGUCUUUUAAGAUAAUGUUUCCUUUGGUUAAACACUCUUUCAUCCCCACCCCCACAAUUGCCUAUUGAAAUCCUAUUUACUGUCAGCAAGAUGCCAGCUUCAGAAAACAUUCUCUUAACCCCAGAAUAACACUGAGCUGUAGUUAUACAUUCACUAGUUUGAAUAUUUGACUAAUGACUGUAAUAGAUUGGAUUCUUUUGCCAGUAAAUAUUUAUUACCCUCCUCAGUGAUGCAGAGGAUACUUCCCUGCUGUAUUGAUGCUGGGCUUUCAUGUGAAUUGUUUAGGAUAAUAGAAUCUGGCACAUUUCUGAGUCAAGUCCAGGAAGAAUCCACCUGUUUUCUUGAGAUGUUUUGUUUGUGCUCUUCUGUCAUUUACUAUGAGAAGAGUGGGCACUGGAUAGAAACAGAUAAUAUACUUGAAGCAGAACUGCAUCCAAUAUGCAUUUUGCAGUCAUAGUCAGUAAAGUCAGAGCCAACCUAGAAACUUGUGCAGGAAAAAAAAAUAAUGAUUUGGCUUUAAACCUCUCAGUUUGGGGGUGGGUUGUUAACAGCAUCAUUGUAGCAAUAGCUAAGUACUACAAUGACUAUUUCCCAACUAUACUGAAAUAAUUCCUGGGUGAAUGAAUAAAUACAUGAAAACUGGAAAUAACAUAAAUUGUAUAUUAUUGCCUACUGGUUAAAUAAAACAUAAUUCAUUCUUUUGACAGUGACUAUACAGUCAUUAAAAAUACUGCUUUCAAUUUUUUUACUUCUAAUGCCUGUUUUAUAAAAUAAUAAUAUUAUUAGGAAAAUAAUAUAGUUCAUUAUAAAAGGCCAAUCUAGAUAGGAAAUUCCAAAAAAUAUACAAUAUAAAUACCACAAAAUAAACCACUCACACACACAUUAUUAAUUCUAGAAAGGUAGGUAUAUAGACAGAGAAAUAGAUGCUAAGAUAAAAUAUUAUACAAGUUAUUUUAAAUUAAAAUAUAAUUUUACUUGAAUUAAGUAGAAAGGAAAAUUUUGAAGUGAAACUGAAGGAAAUACUAAACCCCAUAAGAUAUACUGCCAUCUUAAAAUAAAACACUCUUGAUUUAGAAGACAUAUUAUAAAAAUUAAGAGGAUAAAUGUUUUUAUAUUACAUAUUUAAAACGUGGAUAGUAUAUAUUGACUUUUUAAAAUAAAAGAUCCGAGAAUUAACACUUUCAUACUAUCAUCAACUUUUUCCCAUCCUCAUUUUUAUUAGUUUCAUUAUUGAGGUUUAUUUAAUUUAUAUCCUAUUUUGUAACUAUUCCAUCACAGUUGUUUAGACCUAAGUAAAUUCAAUGCUCGCCAUGAGUGCUUUUCUAAGCCUUCAUUACUGAGAUCUUUAUUUAAAUUCAUCUCUUAUCUGAAUGUCCUUUGAAAGGGAGCCAUGAGUCCAUUAUUAUAUUAGUUCUUUCAUGAUUGACAAUGUAUAUCUGUAGUGUCUGAACUUCAAGAAUAUAUUGUUGUGAAAUAAUUGUACAUAGUUGUGGGUAUAUAUUUAUUCAGAUAUAUCCCAAUUGUCUUAUGUGUCACUGAAUACUUAUGUUUAAAAAUCUAAGGCCAACUGGGCAUUUUUCUUCUUUACAGGCCUCUAGAUAUUUUCUAUUUGAAGAAUCCUUGGUUUUCAUUUGAAUUGCAAUAACUUACAAAGAAUGUAUCAAUACUAUUAUUGAGUAUUCUAAGUCAACAGUUCCUGGAAUUUGACUUUGCUUUUUGAUAUGUAAAUUUGGUGUUUGCUUCAUUUUAAGAAUUUUUAAAUAUUAUUGCCUUGAAUAUAUAUACAUAAUUUUUUUAUUUGUUGAGUUUCGCAAAAAAUUUUCAGUGAUAUUGGAAACUGCCUGUUUUAAAAUUAUAGGUAAAACUUGAAGUUAUAAAUCUGAUAUGAGAGAAAAACAUUUAUGUAACAAAAACAAAAAUACAAAGAGAUUGUGUAAAAAUAUAUAUUGAAAUGAUGCAUUGUUUAUACUGGGUUGUCAUGGAUGAUUUGUGUUUAUAUCUACCUUCACUACAAUGCAUAUUUUUUGUUUGUUCUAUAUUUUGUUUUAAAUGAUGAGAUUUUGAUGCUCCAAAAAAGCCGAAAACAAAAACAAACAGACUGGUUAGUCAGGCUGGUUAGGGGUAAAAAUUCAGCUUGCACUUUUAUUAAACAAUCUUGGGAAAGAAAGUUUUAUCAUUUUUUUGUGACUCAGGUUUCUUAUCUGAAAAUUGAGGAUAGUAAAAACUGUUCCACAGAGUUAUAUGAGUUAAAUUAGAUAAAACAUUCAGCCAGUAAUCAGUGAAUCAUACAUAUUCAAUAAAAUAU